GCUGUGAGAUUAUGGCAGGGAGCAGUGGGUGUGGCUUCUGGAGUGGGCGUGUUCCUGAUGGGAUUGACAGCUGUCUAUCUCUGGAGGAGGACCAAGAAGAACAAUUCUCAGAGACCUACAGCCAGACAGGAUGAUCACAGACAAUGUGAUUUGGUGAUGGGAGCUGUGAGCUGUGCAGGCAUGUUGGCCUUAAAGGAUUCUGGGAUCUAUUCUCUCAUCACCACUGUACCGUCCACGUUACUGC
Molecule: long non-coding RNA, 244 nt
Organism: Salvelinus fontinalis (brook trout)
Lineage: Eukaryota; Metazoa; Chordata; Actinopteri; Salmoniformes; Salmonidae
Exons: 4
Source: RefSeq, a predicted model, not a curated record